This 509-nucleotide ribosomal RNA is filed under the name uncultured bacterium. RNAcentral describes it as "partial 16S ribosomal RNA". It matches the Rfam family "Bacterial small subunit ribosomal RNA", at positions 28 to 506 of the family's 1533-position model. The record is from RNAcentral.
GACGAACGCUGGCGGCGUGCUUAACACAUGCAAGUCGAACGAAGAGCGAUGGAAGCUUGCUUCUAUCCAUCUUAGUGGCGAACGGGUGAGUAACGCGUAAUCAACCUGCCCUUCAGAGGGGGACAACAGUUGGAAACGACUGCUAAUGCCGCAUACGAUCUGACCUCGGCAUCGAGGAUAGAUGAAAGGUGGCCUCUAUUUAUAAGCUAUCACUGAAGGAGGGGAUUGCGUCUGAUUAGCUAGUUGGAGGGGUAACGGCCCACCAAGGCGAUGAUCAGUAGCCGGUCUGAGAGGAUGAACGGCCACAUUGGGACUGAGACACGGCCCAGACUCCUACGGGAGGCAGCAGUGGGGAAUCUUCCGCAAUGGACGAAAGUCUGACGGAGCAACGCCGCGUGAGUGAUGACGGCCUUCGGGUUGUAAAGCUCUGUUAAUCGGGACGAAAGGCCUUCUUGCGAAUAGUUAGAAGGAUUGACGGUACCGGAAUAGAAAGCCACGGCUAACUACGU